CGUACGGGAACCCGGUGAAGCCUGGGGUGCCCCGCGAGGGGAGCCCUUAGCACAGGUGCUGCAUGGCCGUCGUCAGCUCGUGCCGUGAGGUUGUUGGGUUUAAGUCCGCUAACGAGCGCAACCCUCGCUGUGUGUUAUAUGUGUCACACGGGACUGCCGGUCUUAAGCCGGAGGAAGGUGGGAUGAUGUCAAGCCAGCAUGGCCUUUAUAUCCUGGGCUACACACACGCUACAAUGGCCAACACAAUAGGUUGCUAAGCCGCGAGGUGGCGCCAAUCCAUAAAGUUGGUCUCAGUUCAGAUUGUAGGCUGCAACCCGCCUGCAUGAAGAUGGAGUUGCUAGUAACCGCAGGUCAGCUAUACUGCGGUGAAUACGUUCCCGGGGCUU
RNAcentral lists this ribosomal RNA (386 nucleotides) under uncultured Leptolinea sp. RNAcentral describes it as "bacterial SSU rRNA". It matches the Rfam family "Bacterial small subunit ribosomal RNA", at positions 987 to 1382 of the family's 1533-position model. Lineage: Bacteria; Bacillati; Chloroflexota; Anaerolineae; Anaerolineales; Anaerolineaceae. The record is from RNAcentral.